UCCAAAGCAGUGUUGGUGUGGCG
RNAcentral lists this non-coding RNA (23 nucleotides) under Arabidopsis thaliana (thale cress). The record is from RNAcentral. Lineage: Eukaryota; Viridiplantae; Streptophyta; Magnoliopsida; Brassicales; Brassicaceae.